AACAAAUCAAUUUUCACAUUUUACCUAUAAUGUUUGACUCUUCGUCUUAUUAAAAAAAAUUUACAAUUAAUAUUUUUGUUUCUAUUAGAUGAUAAAUCAUAAAUAGUACUUAACGUGUGACUAAUUUUUUUUCAUUUUCUUAAAAUAAAUUCAAAUAAUACGGUUGGUCAAACACCGGAUAUGGAAACCGAAGAGUUGGCUUAUG
This 205-nucleotide microRNA precursor is filed under the name Oryza brachyantha (malo sina). Its description in RNAcentral is "MIR812 microRNA precursor family". It matches the Rfam family "MIR812 microRNA precursor family". Lineage: Eukaryota; Viridiplantae; Streptophyta; Magnoliopsida; Poales; Poaceae. The record is from Rfam by way of RNAcentral.